GAACGCAACUUGCGCCCUCUGGUAUUCCGGAGGGCAUGCCUGUUUGAGUGUCAUGUAGUAUCAAUCCCUCAGGUUUCUGGGAAGAUUGGAUUUGGGUGUCUGCCAUGCCAAUGGCUCGCCUUAAAUGAAUUAGUGGGAAAGUUGACCCAGUUGGGAGUAAUAAGUUUCUCUCGAUCAAGUUGAUUAGACUGCUCAUAACAACUAUAUUUAUGACUCUGACCUCAAAUCAGGUAGGACUACCCGCUGAACUUAA
Molecule: unclassified non-coding RNA, 253 nt
Filed under: uncultured fungus
Lineage: Eukaryota; Fungi
Description: partial contains 5.8S ribosomal RNA, internal transcribed spacer 2, and large subunit ribosomal RNA
Rfam family: 5.8S ribosomal RNA (bases 1-53)
Source: RNAcentral